RNAcentral lists this transfer RNA (84 nucleotides) under Chitinilyticum piscinae. Its description in RNAcentral is "tRNA-Leu". It matches the Rfam family "tRNA". From Rfam's summary of the family: Transfer RNA (tRNA) molecules are approximately 80 nucleotides in length. Their secondary structure includes four short double-helical elements and three loops (D, anti-codon, and T loops). Further hydrogen bonds mediate the characteristic L-shaped molecular structure. tRNAs have two regions of fundamental functional importance: the anti-codon, which is responsible for specific mRNA codon recognition, and the 3' end, to which the tRNAs corresponding amino acid is attached (by aminoacyl-tRNA synthetases). tRNAs cope with the degeneracy of the genetic code in two manners: having more than one tRNA (with a specific anti-codon) for a particular amino acid; and 'wobble' base-pairing, i.e. permitting non-standard base-pairing at the 3rd anti-codon position. Lineage: Bacteria; Pseudomonadati; Pseudomonadota; Betaproteobacteria; Neisseriales; Chitinibacteraceae. The record is from RNAcentral.
GCCCGGGUGGCGAAAUGGUAGACGCAGGGGAUUCAAAAUCCCCCGUAGAAAUACGUGUCGGUUCGAGUCCGACCCCGGGCACCA